RNAcentral lists this unclassified non-coding RNA (319 nucleotides) under plant metagenome. RNAcentral's name for it is "partial contains 5.8S ribosomal RNA, internal transcribed spacer 2, and large subunit ribosomal RNA". The stretch from base 1 to 104 matches the Rfam family "5.8S ribosomal RNA", at positions 51 to 154 of the family's 154-position model. The record is from RNAcentral.
AAAUGCGAUAAGUAAUGUGAAUUGCAGAAUUCAGUGAAUCAUCGAAUCUUUGAACGCACAUUGCGCCCGCCAGUAUUCUGGCGGGCAUGCCUGUUCGAGCGUCAUUACAACCCUCAGGCCCCCGGGCCUGGUGUUGGGGAUCGGCGGAAGCCCCCUGCGGGCACAACGCCGUCCCCCAAAUACAGUGGCGGUCCCGCCGCAGCUUCCAUUGCGUAGUAGCUAACACCUCGCAACUGGAGAGCGGCGCGGCCACGCCGUAAAACACCCAACUUCUGAAUGUUGACCUCGAAUCAGGUAGGAAUACCCGCUGAACUUAAGC